Molecule: ribosomal RNA, 142 nt
Filed under: uncultured Alphaproteobacteria bacterium
Lineage: Bacteria; Pseudomonadati; Pseudomonadota; Alphaproteobacteria
Description: partial 16S ribosomal RNA
Rfam family: Bacterial small subunit ribosomal RNA
Source: RNAcentral
AGCGUUGUUCGGAAAUACUGGGCGUAAAGCGCACGUAGGCGGCGCCGUAAGUCAGGGGUGAAAUCCCGGGGCUCAACCCCGGAACUGCCUUUGAAACUGCAGUGCUAGAAUCUUGGAGAGGUCAGUGGAAUUCCGAGUGUAG